GAGUUUUGUGGAGGCAUCUUAGACUGCGGACGUGACAAGAGGCAAUAUGAAGUGGUCAAUAAUGGUGUUAGUCGCUCUGGCAGCGAUGUGCACAGCUGAUGAUGUACCUCCUUCUGUCACUUUUGCCGGCCCCGCGGCUCAUGUCUCAGCACUGACGACGUCUCUCAACUAGCAUAUUCUCCAAGGCAAAUAAACGGUGAAUAAUGAAGAUCCUCGUCCUCUUCUCCAUGUUGAUGGCAGUCGCGUUCGCCGCGAACUACGGAGCUCCCGUCCCGCUGCACCACUCCGAUGCAGUUCCAUUGCAUGCUGCCUCAUCCGGAGGAUCGACGGGGGCAUAUUGUUACGAUUCGUACCAAUGCGUUAGCAGUUGCUUGGCGUCCUGCUCUGAGGCUCUCACUGCUAGGUGUAUAGAACGCCAGUGUUAUUGCGGUGUUUGAAAAUAUGCCUGUACAUAUUGAUUUAAUGUGAACAUUAUAAAAUGUGAUUAGAAAAAAUCAAAAAUUUUAC
Long non-coding RNA from Papilio xuthus (Asian swallowtail), 507 nucleotides. RefSeq lists it as uncharacterized. Lineage: Eukaryota; Metazoa; Arthropoda; Insecta; Lepidoptera; Papilionidae. The transcript is spliced from 3 exons. The record is from RefSeq and is a predicted model, not a curated record.